This 493-nucleotide ribosomal RNA is filed under the name uncultured bacterium. RNAcentral describes it as "bacterial SSU rRNA". It matches the Rfam family "Bacterial small subunit ribosomal RNA", at positions 17 to 518 of the family's 1533-position model. The record is from RNAcentral.
UUCUGGCUCAGGAUGAACGCUGGCGGCGUGCCUAACACAUGCAAGUCGAACGGAGUGUUGAGAGCUUGCUUUAACACUUAGUGGCGGACGGGUGAGUAAUGUAUGAGCAACCUGCCUUUCAGAGGGGGACAACAGUUGGAAACGACUGCUAAAUACCGCAUAAAGUAUCGACGGGGCAUCCCGAUGAUACCAAAGGAGCAAUCCGCUGAAAAGAUGGGCUCAUAUCUGAUUAGCUAGUUGGUGGGGUAACGGCUCACCAAGGCUGCGAUCAGUAGCCGGACUGAGAGGUUGAACGGCCACAUUGGGACUGAGAUACGGCCCAGACUCCUACGGGAGGCAGCAGUGGGGAAUAUUGGGCAAUGGGCGAAAGCCCUGACCCAGCAACGCCGCGUGAAGGAAGAAGGUCUUCGGAUUGUAAACUUCUUUUAUGAGGGACGAAGGACGUGACGGUACCUCAUGAAUAAGCCACGGCUAACUACGUGCCAGCCGCCGC